Marmota monax (woodchuck) is the source of this 1756-nucleotide long non-coding RNA. RefSeq lists it as uncharacterized. NCBI's taxonomy places the organism in Eukaryota, Metazoa, Chordata, Mammalia, Rodentia, Sciuridae. The record is from RefSeq and is a predicted model, not a curated record. The transcript is spliced from 3 exons.
UCUGACAGCUCCAGUCAGGCAGGGCCGCGCCGACGCGCAGCCCGAGAGCUCGGCGACCCUGGUAAUGGCCAAAAGGCCAGUACCCGGAGAGGGUUGGGGCACUCGCUGGUUUCCCGAUAAAUGUUUACCAAGAGGGGAGGAGAUCCCUGGGAGAGAAUGAAAUGGACUGCCUGCCGCCAAAGAGACUGGAUUCUUGGUUGGGUCCAGAUUUCUCUUGUGAAGUCCUCCCCCAUCUGAGUUUGCACCAGGAUUUGUGCAACCUGGUUCAGAUGGCCAUGGAAGUCGCCCAUGGCUGGAGUGAAAAUUUGCCAGCUCCGAGAUGCUAUAGUUACAAGCAAUGCUUAACCCACUGGUACUACCAGGAGGUGGUAGGUGCUCCUGUCAUCUCUUGUUUGCAGAUGUGGAAACAGGGCCACAGACAGGUGACCAAACUGUCAAAGUCAUGUUUGCAGGGAUUCAAACCCAGUGGCCUUGCUCUGAAAUCUGUCCUAUCCACUAGCACUUUACCUGUGGUACAACCACUCCUAAAAAUCUUUCUUUUGAUGUCUCGUUUUCAGAGCUGAGGGUGCUCUACCACUGAGCUACAUUCUCAGCCCAAUUUAUUUUUUUGUUUUGGGACAGGGUCUUGCUAAGUUGUCUAGGCUGCCCUCGAAUUUGCAAUCCUCCUGCCACCUCAGCCUUCCGAGUCACUGGAAUUACAGAAGGCACAAGAAGAUGAAGAAUGUCUGGAGAAGAGGAAGGUGUCCUCUUCUGAGAGGGAGAGAAAAUAAUGGGAAUUCAGUUCUUUUUUCUUUUCUUUUUCUUUUUGCAUACUCGGGGCUGACCCCACGGCCUAGUGACUUGUGAAUGUGGGAAUGGUGGUUCAUGGAGGUGGUGGGAGCUGGGGUCACAUUGCAAAGGUGAUGAGAAAAUAGCCAAGAAGCACUUGAAAAGAUGGACAAUUCAAGUCAAAACCACCAUGAGAUACCACUUCACGCCCAUGAGCCUGGGUAGGAUCCAGAAAGGGGAAAUCAGCAAGUGCUUGCUGGCCAAGAUGUGGAGAAGUCACGCCCCUCUUUCCCUGCCACUGGAAAGUGGUGCUGCCACUCUGGAGAAGAGUUAGUUGGUUCCAUGAUAAAUUACACCUAGAAUAACAACCAUAUUACUACUCACGUGUAUGUCCAAGUAACUGAGCACAGGUGUUCAAGCCAUCCCUUUUCACAAAUGUUCGUGGCAGCACUGUUCACAAUGGCCAGAAGGUGGAAGCAACCAAACUGCCCAACUAUGGAGGAAUGGAAGAAUGACACAUGGAAGGUACCUGUGAGGGAAUAUUAUGCUGCCAUAUAAAGGAAGGAAGUGCUGACCCACCCUGCAGUGAACCUGGAGAACUUGAUGCUUUAGGGCUGGGGUGCUUGUAGCUCAGGGGCAGGGUGCUUGCGUAACAUGCAAAAGACCCUGGGUCCCAUCCCGGGGACCAUGGAAGAAUAAAAAUAAAAAGGACACUUACUGAGUGACUCCAUUUAAAUGAAAUGCUGGAGGAGGCUGAUGCUUAGAGACAGAAUGAAGAUUAGUGGUUGCUAGGGUCUGGGGGACAGGGAGGGAGUGGGAGUGAGCUUAGGGGAUAGGCAGCUUCCUUCUGGGGUAGUGGGAAAGGUCUGGAUUUAGACAGUGGUGAAGAUCAUCCAGCAUUACCCACUUGAAUCAAAGUGUGAAAUAUGAUAUAUCAAGAACUAUGUAAUGUUUUGAACAACCAACAAUAAAAAAUUUAAAAAAAAUG